AAGGUAUCACUGUGUGUUCGCA
This 22-nucleotide microRNA is filed under the name Lingula anatina. RNAcentral describes it as "Lan-Mir-317-P10_5p* (star (passenger))". Lineage: Eukaryota; Metazoa; Brachiopoda; Lingulata; Lingulida; Lingulidae. The record is from RNAcentral.